CCCGCACAAGCGGUGGAGCAUGUGGUUUAAUUCGAUGCAACGCGAAGAACCUUACCUGGUCUUGACAUCCACGGAAGUUUUCAGAGAUGAGAAUGUGCCUUCGGGAACCGUGAGACAGGUGCUGCAUGGCUGUCGUCAGCUCGUGUUGUGAAAUGUUGGGUUAAGUCCCGCAACGAGCGCAACCCUUAUCCUUUGUUGCCAGCGGUCCGGCCGGGAACUCAAAGGAGACUGCCAGUGAUAAACUGGAGGAAGGUGGGGAUGACGUCAAGUCAUCAUGGCCCUUACGACCAGGGCUACACACGUGCUACAAUGGCGCAUACAAAGAGAAGCGACCUCGCGAGAGCAAGCGGACCUCAUAAAGUGCGUCGUAGUCCGGAUUGGAGUCUGCAACUCGACUCCAUGAAGUCGGAAUCGCUAGUAAUCGUGGAUCAGAAUGCCACGGUGAAUACGUUCCCGGGCCUU
Molecule: ribosomal RNA, 462 nt
Filed under: uncultured Enterobacteriaceae bacterium
Lineage: Bacteria; Pseudomonadati; Pseudomonadota; Gammaproteobacteria; Enterobacterales; Enterobacteriaceae
Description: bacterial SSU rRNA
Rfam family: Bacterial small subunit ribosomal RNA
Source: RNAcentral